RNAcentral lists this long non-coding RNA (584 nucleotides) under Pan troglodytes (chimpanzee). Its description in RNAcentral is "long non-coding RNA NONPTRT005185". The record is from RNAcentral. Lineage: Eukaryota; Metazoa; Chordata; Mammalia; Primates; Hominidae.
GUGCGUCCUUCCCUGCUAGCGCACUACACGGCAGGUUUCAUAGCUUGACAGCAAAGUGUUUGAAAACGAAGAGCAGGAAUUCCGCGGUUCCUGCCCGGCCUCGCCAUCCAGCUGGGAGAAGAGCACGGUCAUUUCCUUCACUUAGUCCACGGCCGCUGGGCGCUCAUCCCCAGCACAGCCCUCCCCAUGCCGCGGCAAAGACUGUUGCUGUCCUGCUGAGGGAUGUGCCCCCGGGGAUUCAAUCGAGAUUCUGUAAGAUGUGGGGGAUGUGGCGGGGGUGGGGGGGCUUCUCCACAUCCCCAGGGCUCUCCUUCUUCCCCAGUGAGGUGGGAGAAGCCGCAGAUUGGGGUCUGCUGAGGAGCGGGCCUACGUGAGGCCCAGGUCGUGACCCACGGCUCCGGGGACCACAAGGUAAACAGUUUCGGCACAGGGUGCACCCACUAGGUCAUAGGUGGAUUCAGCCUUCUCUGAGAACCGAGAAGAUUCUGGAGUCUUUUGAAGCAGGAAAGGAGAUCAGAGGAGGAGAUGGUGGCAAAGCGGGGACUGAGACUCUUGAAAUGUGUUUAUCCCAGGCAGAGCAGCCG